GGACACCAGCCAGCCAGCUCUGGAACAGCCUCUUCUCUCACCACCCGCUCACACACACCCUGCACCCUCCAGGCCAGAGAGACCCAGGACACUCCAGGUGACCUCCUCCUCCCCCGCACUUCACCAUGUACUUCACCGUGCACCCGGCACUGCCCGAGAGGCAUCCUGCCCUCCCACGACCCCACCCACAGCCCAGCCCUAACGUCAGCAAAGGGCCUUUCCUCUAGGGGUGGGGGCUGGGGUCCCUGAGACACUCCAGUCCCUUCACCUCAGCACCGUCCACACCGUCGGGAGCACAGUGGUCCCGAUGCCCGCCCCUCCUGCCUGAAUUAGGAAGCAUCCGGAUGAUGCUGAGGACUCCUGCCUGUGACCCCGAGCAUGACACAGUGAUGGCAGGAGGUCACUGCUUUGUGCCACCCUGUUCCGGACUCCACAGCGACUGCAUCAUCCCAUCACACACGGGCCUAUAAACGAGGGACUCUCCAUCUUACAGGAGAUAAAUCUGAGACUCAGAGAGACCAAGUCACCAGCUACAGUCACCAGCGAGAAGGUGGCAGCACAGGGUCACUUCUAGGCGCCUGGCAGAGGACCUCCCUGCGAGGGUUUGAGGUCUCUUGACGACAUGCCCCCUCCCUUCCCUGCACUUUAACCUUUCCCCACCUUGCCCAUCUCUCCCCUCCCCCAGACUCUGAUUGGUGGGUCUGGGCCAGAAACUGAGCAUGCGCGAUCCACU
RNAcentral lists this long non-coding RNA (733 nucleotides) under Marmota monax (woodchuck). Lineage: Eukaryota; Metazoa; Chordata; Mammalia; Rodentia; Sciuridae. The record is from RNAcentral.